Molecule: unclassified non-coding RNA, 210 nt
Filed under: fungal sp.
Lineage: Eukaryota; Fungi
Also listed under: 1 other name
Description: partial contains small subunit ribosomal RNA, internal transcribed spacer 1, and 5.8S ribosomal RNA
Rfam family: Eukaryotic small subunit ribosomal RNA (bases 1-46)
Source: RNAcentral
AAGUCGUAACAAGGUCUCCGUUGGUGAACCAGCGGAGGGAUCAUUAGAGAGUUGACCCAACUCCCAAACCCCUGUGAACAUACCGUACGUUGCCUCGGCGGGGGGGCGCUCCCCCCCCGCCGGCGGCCCACGAAACUCUGUUUUGCCCUGAAUCUCUGAAACGAUAAACUAAAUCAGUUAAAACUUUCAACAACGGAUCUCUUGGUUCUG